UUGCCGGGUGAAAUGGGAUCCUGGGGGCGGAGUGAGGGGGGAGAAGCAGAAUACGUCAGGCACCCCAACACCAAAAAAUGAGCGGGAAUUAAUUCUGAGUGAAAUAUGCUGUCACUGUAUGUAUACGUAUAUGUACGUGUGUCAGAUCGGAACAAGGGGCUAAAAAUCAAAAUCCAAACAAGCGUUUUACAACAGUAAAGUUUCAGUCACGCUUGAUGUCAACAGAGUACAAAUCAUUGCCG
Molecule: long non-coding RNA, 242 nt
Organism: Hippocampus zosterae (dwarf seahorse)
Lineage: Eukaryota; Metazoa; Chordata; Actinopteri; Syngnathiformes; Syngnathidae
Exons: 2
Source: RefSeq, a predicted model, not a curated record